UCGUUUGGGUUGGGCGUCGGCUAAGAGUGCUCGGAGUGUGGAUUAACUCCAGUCUCCUAUCAGGUGUGUAUUUUCUCGCUACUUUAGCUGUAGGAUGGCUACUUCGGGCCACGAUGGGUUGAAAGGGGUCAUGUGGGCCUAAUGGGCCUACGGGCCCAAUUGGAUAAGUUGUUUGAUUGUGUAGUAAAUAUUGGACUAGGCUAGGUGAAUCUCAUAUUUGUGGCUAGAUUUGGGCUAAAAGGGCCACACGAGCGUGUGGAUCCAUUUGGGCCAAGAAUAGGCUUUAGGCCCAUUCGUAUUGUUAUCCCUGUUUAGAAUACUUUAGUUUACCAAAUUACUGAAAUGCCUGCGAGUUGUAGAAUUACCAUUUUACCCUCAAUUUAUAAAAUUACCAUUUUACCCUCGAUUUACAAAAUUACCAUUUUACCCUUGAUUUGUAGAAUUACCAUUUUACCCUCGAUUUACAAAAUUACCAUUUUACCCUCAGUUUACAAAAUUAUCGUUUUACCCUCGAUUGUGAAAUUACUGAAAUACCCCUGUAGGAUAGAAUUACCAAAAUACCCCUAGUUUGUAAAAUUACCAAAAUACCCCUAGUUUGUAAAAUUCCCGAAAUACCACUGGUUUGUGAAAUUACCAAAAUACCCUUAAUUUGUAAAAUUACCAAAAUACCCCUAAUUUACAAAAUUACAGAAAUACCCUUGACUUUCUAAAAAUUAUAGAAAUACUAUUGGUUUACAAAAUUACUGAAAUACCUUUAGUUUGUCGAUUUACCAAAACACCCUUGUAGGAUGAAAUGACUAAAAUACCCCGAAUAGGAAAAAAGACCGUAAAGCCCCUGUAGGGUAAAGUGACCGUAAUACCCUGGUAUGGUAAAAUGACGAAUAUGCCCUUAUGUUUCGUAUGACUGAUGUGCUUAGGAUUUACAUUUAUUGAUAUUGGAUUAGUUGAGUUUGAGUGACAGGUGGUGGUUAUCGUAGGUGAUUGAUUAUGGAAACGUUUCAACUUCAGCCCAUAACAGGUGUGUACUAACCCUCGUAGUAGCUUAGAUUAAUAUCUGCUAAGAAGCCGAAAUGCUAAAAUACCGGUAUUUUGGGAACUUGUAAUGUUGCGUGUGGGUAUAGAUGCGAUAAAUACGAUAAGAUCGGUGUUUGGAUCGAUGGAACGGGUAAGAACUCAAUUUUGUGCACGAUGGUAAGUUGGGCCUCAAUGGGCAAGAAUUGGGCUAAAUGGGCUUUUGGGCCCAUUUGGGUAAAAUUGAUAGAAAAUGGAAUUUGGAAAAGUUACAUGUUAACACGAUUAGUAUUGUUGUAAAAUUUGGGUUAAGCAGGCUCAGUGGGCUAAAUCAGUAUUUGGAGAGCCCAUUAGGGGUUUUGGGCCUAAAAGCCCGAAUUUGAUAAGUGGGUUAAAGAUCAUUGUUUAAACACUUGGAAAUAUUGACAAUUGUAAUGAACAUGGAAAACCCUGAUUUUUGGUAAAAUUACGAAAAUACCCUUAUAAUAUGAAAAAUGACUGUUUUGCCCUUGUGGGCAAGUGACUGACUUGGACUGUGUGGUUGACGGAUUUGAUUGUGGAUAUAUGUUGGUGAUAUAAAUGACUUGACUGUGAUUGUUUGAUUCAAAUAUGGGCAUGACAUUCUGCAUACAUGACAUAUUGCAUGAGAUAUGGGUUAUAUUGAUGGAGGAAGUGCUAAAAGGGCUCUACCCCAGUUUACUGAAAAGGUUGCCCCAGUUUAUCAGAAAGGUCUUUGCCCCAGUUAUUAAAAGAGGCAAGGCCUCCAGUUAUAUGAUAAAGCAACUAUGCUGCUAGUGGAGAGUUUUGUUGGGUGGGUUGAGUUAUUCCCCACAUGGAGAGCUUGGUUGGCACGGGUGGAGAGUAGCGGAUGGUGGGUCGAGUAGUCUCCCCAAAUGGGCUUGGAUACAUUCAUUGACAUUACAUGUGAUAUUGAAAUGGGCCUAAGGGCCAUACUAUUUACAGUAAAGGCUUCGGCCCAGUGAUAUGAUUUAUGAAAAGGCUUCGGCCCAGUGGUAUGAUUUAUGAAAAGGCUUCGGCCCAGUGGUAUGAUUUAUGGAAAGGAUUCGGCCCAGUAUAUGUCAAGACUAAAUAGGGCUUUGGCCCAUAUUGUACUGAUACCGUGUUAUUUACUGUUUGUUUGUUAUUGGGGUUACACACUAAGUUUUCGUAAACUCACCCUGUUUCUAACUGUACAGGUAAUCCCUAAGCUUAGAUGGUUUGGAGCUGCGUGGGACUCAGAGAUGGCCACACUACUAUUUCUGUUUCUUUUAAUUGCAAUAAGUAGCCUAUUUAUUUCUUUAUAAGUUUUGUCUUAUUAAUAUUAUUAUUUGGUUUUGGGUUGUAAUAAGGCCAUUUUAAUUAUUUUUCUGGGAUUAUUUUAUCUUAUACCCUAUAUCUUUUUAAUAACAAUAUAAGUUAGACCUAGGGCGCGUUUCCA
This 2449-nucleotide long non-coding RNA is filed under the name Gossypium barbadense (sea-island cotton). Its description in RNAcentral is "long non-coding RNA (GBAR_LNC012558)". Lineage: Eukaryota; Viridiplantae; Streptophyta; Magnoliopsida; Malvales; Malvaceae. The record is from RNAcentral.